AUGGCAAGCUCAAAGGUGAGCUACGGUCAAACAACUGGACAAAGAUGUGGAUCGUUUAUUUUUUGGGGCUUGUGCUAGCGUAAGCUAUCGAAGCCAUCAUCUGGUGCUGUGUACAGCAAGCACAUGCUUCGGGCAAGGAGGGAGCCAGCACCAUAUCUACAUCAGCAAGAACCUCGGUGCUCAAAAUAAAAAUUUUCUGUGCAAA
Molecule: long non-coding RNA, 205 nt
Filed under: Dermacentor andersoni
Lineage: Eukaryota; Metazoa; Arthropoda; Arachnida; Ixodida; Ixodidae
Description: uncharacterized LOC126539997
Source: RNAcentral